GCCGAAGUGGCGGAACAGGCAGACGCGACGGUCUCAAACACCGUUGGAGAUAGCUCCAUGUGGGUUCGAGUCCCACCUUCGGCA
Molecule: transfer RNA, 84 nt
Filed under: Caldilineales bacterium
Lineage: Bacteria; Bacillati; Chloroflexota; Caldilineae; Caldilineales
Description: tRNA-Leu
Rfam family: tRNA
About the family: Transfer RNA (tRNA) molecules are approximately 80 nucleotides in length. Their secondary structure includes four short double-helical elements and three loops (D, anti-codon, and T loops).
Source: RNAcentral